GUUAAAAAAAAAAUUGGGUUUCCGUGUCCAAUGUUUCACCGUCCGUCUUAUUUGAAAAAAAUAUGAAAAAUAAUUAAAAACACAAGUCAGACAUAAAGUAUUAAUCAUGUUUUAUCAUCUAACAACAAUAAAAAUAUUAAUUAUAAAAAAGUUUUAUAUAAGAUGGAUAGUGAAACGUCGGAUACAAAAGCACGG
This is a non-coding RNA of Oryza glumipatula, 195 nucleotides long. The record is from Rfam. NCBI's taxonomy places the organism in Eukaryota, Viridiplantae, Streptophyta, Magnoliopsida, Poales, Poaceae.